RNAcentral lists this microRNA precursor (92 nucleotides) under Rhodnius prolixus. RNAcentral's name for it is "microRNA miR-3049 precursor". The record is from RNAcentral. Lineage: Eukaryota; Metazoa; Arthropoda; Insecta; Hemiptera; Reduviidae.
UCCUAGUGUAGUCAGAUUCGGGAAGGCAGUUGCGGCGGAUUUAUUGCAAUCAUAUCCGUCCAACUCCUUUCCGUGUUUGCUUACAGCUAUAA